UGAUUUUGAACUUUAUGCUCCCCUGCACAGUGUUAUCGACAGCAGCCAUAGUGAAGAACUUUAAGUGCUGACGUGGGGAGCAGAUUAAAUUUCAAGAUUGAUUCUCAGCAACCAGAACUGUUGGACUGAACAACACACUGCACAUUAAUUAGAAGCAAUAAGAAAUAUUAUUGUGGGCCCAACAAUGAGCAAACAAAUGUUUUUUUUACUUCCUACCAUGAGAAUUGGUUGUAGUUAAUUUCACAUAAUAUGUCCCACACAAUUUAUUACUUUGGUCGCAGACCCAUAUUCACAAACAGAAAUAGAUAAUUCAAGUAGUGAAUUAAAUUGAUAAAAGAAACUACAAAGAAACUAAAUUUUUACAGUAUAAGGUAACCAUUUCAAAAUCAAAACUAAUUUUUUUAAUCUAAAAUACAUAACACAGAACAUAAAAAAUCAAAAAUCAACUUCAUUUUAUACACAGGUUGUAGACGUCAAAAUAUCAAUAAUCAUUAAAAAAAUACAUAUCAAAUAACGAAAAAGAAAAGAAAAAUCAAUGGAAAUAAAACAUACAAAAUCCAUACAUUCCAUAAAUACAAUUAGGAAAAAUAAAAAUAAGUGAAUAAAAAAUAGCGCGAAAACUAACCAAUAAUCCAAUAACGAAAUCAACAGUUGUAAUAUCUGUAAGCAACAACAUAAACAAUAAUCUACAGGGGCGAUGGUAAUUAGGGUUUAGGCAAGGGGAAAAUCAUAAGCAACCACAUCAAAAAUUCAAGAGAGACAUUGUCAAGAAAAAUCGCUGUUGGGUAAGAAGAAUACAGUCCAGAAACAACAUUUUUUUUGAAAAAAUUAAAAAAAUAAUAAUAAUAAAUUCUGUGGAUCAAAUCAAAUUAUUCACAGCAAUCGAUUUGAAUAAAAUUGAGUACAAAUAACAAUCAACAUAAAAUGCCCGUUUUUACACAAACACUUACUAACCUUUCAAGAUGAUCGUGUGUCCGAAAUCCCUUCCCCCAAUUCUAUUCAAUCCACUAACAAUUUGAUUUCAACAACUUUUGAAAAUUGUAUCAAGAAAUAUUUCGAAUUGAAGUUUGGAAAACUAUUGAUGUUGUAAGGUAAAAAUUAG
RNAcentral lists this long non-coding RNA (1102 nucleotides) under Olea europaea (common olive). RNAcentral's name for it is "long non-coding RNA (OEUR_LNC015515)". The record is from RNAcentral. Lineage: Eukaryota; Viridiplantae; Streptophyta; Magnoliopsida; Lamiales; Oleaceae.